AGUUUCGUUGCGAAAUGUUGUAAAAUGCGGAUAAUAUACUGUAGCCUUGCGAAGUUUGCAAUUUUCAGUCAUUUUGUAUUACGCGCGGAAAAUACAUACCUCCUUCUGAAAAAGAGUAUGUAUUUCCCGUUUGUAAUACAAAAUGACUGAAAAUUGCAAACUUCGCAAGCUAUAUCAUCUGCAUUUUACAACAUUUCGCAACCAAACU
This is a non-coding RNA of Paramuricea clavata, 208 nucleotides long. NCBI's taxonomy places the organism in Eukaryota, Metazoa, Cnidaria, Anthozoa, Malacalcyonacea, Plexauridae. The record is from the annotation of a GenBank genome assembly.